This 465-nucleotide ribosomal RNA is filed under the name Vreelandella stevensii. Its description in RNAcentral is "partial 16S ribosomal RNA". It matches the Rfam family "Bacterial small subunit ribosomal RNA", at positions 338 to 795 of the family's 1533-position model. Lineage: Bacteria; Pseudomonadati; Pseudomonadota; Gammaproteobacteria; Oceanospirillales; Halomonadaceae. The record is from RNAcentral.
CCUACGGGAGGCUGCAGUGGGGAAUAUUGGACAAUGGGGGGAACCCUGAUCCAGCCAUGCCGCGUGUGUGAAGAAGGCCCUCGGGUUGUAAAGCACUUUCAGUGAGGAAGAACGCCUGGUGGUUAAUACCCAUCAGGAAAGACAUCACUCACAGAAGAAGCACCGGCUAACUCCGUGCCAGCAGCCGCGGUAAUACGGAGGGUGCGAGCGUUAAUCGGAAUUACUGGGCGUAAAGCGCGCGUAGGUGGCUUGAUAAGCCGGUUGUGAAAGCCCCGGGCUCAACCUGGGAACGGCAUCCGGAACUGUCAAGCUAGAGUGCAGGAGAGGAAGGUAGAAUUCCCGGUGUAGCGGUGAAAUGCGUAGAGAUCGGGAGGAAUACCAGUGGCGAAGGCGGCCUUCUGGACUGACACUGACACUGAAGUGCGAAAGCGUGGGUAGCAAACAGGAUUAGAUACCCGUGUAGUC